AGUGAACGCUGGCGGUAGGCCUAACACAUGCAAGUCGAACGGCAGCACAUUAAGAGCUUGCUCUUACGGGUGGCGAGUGGCGGACGGGUGCGGAAUACAUCGGAAUCUACUUUUUCGUGGGGUAUAACUUAGGGAAACUUACGCUAAUACCGCAUACGACCUACGGGUGAAAGCAGGUGAUCUUCGUAACUUGCGCGAUUGAAUGAGCCGAUGUCGGAUUAGCUAGUUGGCGGGGUAAAGGCCCACCAAGGCGACGGUCCGUAGCUGGUCUGAGAGGAUGAUCGGCCACACUGGAACUGAAACACGGUCCAGACUCCUACGGGAGGCAGGAGUGGGGAAUAUUGGAAAAUGGGCGCAAGCAUGAUCCAGCAAUACCGCGUGGGUGAAGAAGGCAUUCGGGUUUUAAAGCACUAUUGUUGGGAAAGAAAAGCAGCAGGUUAAUAACAAGAUGUUCUGACGGUACCCAAAGAAUAAGCACCGGCUAACUUCGUG
RNAcentral lists this ribosomal RNA (492 nucleotides) under uncultured bacterium. RNAcentral describes it as "partial 16S ribosomal RNA". It matches the Rfam family "Bacterial small subunit ribosomal RNA", at positions 29 to 507 of the family's 1533-position model. The record is from RNAcentral.